Molecule: ribosomal RNA, 357 nt
Filed under: Pipunculus oldenbergi
Lineage: Eukaryota; Metazoa; Arthropoda; Insecta; Diptera; Pipunculidae
Description: partial 12S ribosomal RNA
Source: RNAcentral
AAAAAUUAAAUUUUGAAUAUUAAAGUAGUAAUAGUUAAGUUCUUGAAAUUUAAAAAAUUUGGCGGUAUUUUAGUCUAUUCAGAGGAACCUGUUUAGUAAUCGAUAGCCCACGUUGGACCUUUCUUAAAUUUGUAAAUUAGUUUAUAUAUCGUCGUUGUUUAUAGAAUAUUUUAUAAAAAAAAUAAUUUUCAAGAUUUUUAAUAAAAAUAUAUAUCAGAUCAAGAUGUAGCUUAUAUUUAAGUUUAAAAUGGGUUACAAUUUUUUUAUUAUUGGAUUUAGUUUUGAAAAAAAUUAUUGAAAUUGGAUUUGAUAGUAAAUUUAUAAAGAUAAAUAAUUUGAUUUAAGCUCUAAAAUAUG